CAAAGGUAGCAUAAUCAUUAGUUUCUUAAUUGGAAGCUUGUAUGAAUGAUUGAACAAGAAAAAAACUGUUUCUAUUAUAUUAUUUGAAUUUAACUUUUAAGUUAAAAGGCUUAAAUAAACUAGAGGGACGAUAAGACCCUAUAAAUCUUUAUAUAUAAAGAUUUUUAUAUAAAUAAAUUAUAAAGUAAGGAUUGUUUAAUAUAUUUAAUUGGGGUGAUUUAAUUAAAAUUGAAUAAUUAAUUAAUUAAUUAUAACAUUUUGUUUGAAUAAAAUAUUGAUCCUGGUUAAGGAUUAUAAAUUAAGUUACUUUAGGGAUAACAGUGUAAUUUUUUUUAAGAGUUCAUAUUGAAAAAAAAGAUUACAACCUCGAUGUUUAAUUAAAAAUUCUUUAUAGUGCAACAGUUAUAAAAGAGGGUCUGU
This 420-nucleotide ribosomal RNA is filed under the name Pyromaia tuberculata. RNAcentral describes it as "partial 16S ribosomal RNA". The record is from RNAcentral. Lineage: Eukaryota; Metazoa; Arthropoda; Malacostraca; Decapoda; Inachoididae.